RNAcentral lists this ribosomal RNA (1056 nucleotides) under uncultured bacterium. RNAcentral describes it as "bacterial SSU rRNA". It matches the Rfam family "Bacterial small subunit ribosomal RNA", at positions 476 to 1533 of the family's 1533-position model. The record is from RNAcentral.
AACCUCAUGAAUAAGGGGCUCCUAAUCUCGUGCCAGCAGGAGCGGUAAUACGAGAGCCUCGAGCGUUAUCCGGGAAUUAUUGGGCGUAAAGGGUGUGUAGGUUGUGGUGUUAGUCCUUUCGUUAAAUCCCAGAGCUCAACUUUGGAACCGCGAAGGAAACGGCACUACUUGAGAGUGUGAGAGGUCUAUGGAACUCAUGGUGUAGGGGUGAAAUCCGUUGAUAUCAUGGGGAACACCAAAAGCGAAGGCAAUAGACUGGCACAUAUCUGACACUGAAACACGAAAGCGUAGGUAGCGAAUGGGAUUAGAUACCCCAGUAGUCUACGCCCUAAACGAUCUUCUCUAGUCUUUCGGAGUAUCGACCCUCUGAGAGGCGUAGCUAACGCGUUAAGAGAAGCGCCUGGGAAGUACGGUCGCAAGACUAAAACUCAAAGGAAUAGACGGGGACUUGCACAAGCAGUGGAUUAUGUGGUUUAAUUCGAUGGUAACCGAAAAGCCUCACCAAGGUUAGAAAUCAACGUGAAAGCUCUAGGAAACUAGAGCCCUCGCAAGACUAGUUGACAGGUGAUGCAUGGCCGUCGUCAGUUCGUGGUUUGAAUUGUUCCCUUAAGUGGGGUAACGAACGCAACCCUCGUCGUGUGUUAUAUUUGUCACACGAGACCGCCCAGACCGAAGAGCACGAAAUUUGCUUCGUGAAUUUCGGUCUGGGAGGAAGGAGAGGAUGACGCCAGGUCAGCAUGUCCCUUGAUAUCUUGGGCUACACACAUAAUACAAUGACCACUACAACGCGUUGCGACGGGGUGACCCUGAGCUAAUCGUUAGAAAGGUGGCCUCAGUUCGGAUUGGAGUCUGCAACUCGACUCCAUGAAGUUGGAAUUGCUAGUAAUCGCGGGUCAGCAAACCGCGGUGAAUACGUUCUCAAGUCUUGUACUCACCGCCCGUCAAGUCAAGGGAGCCGGGAGUGCCCGAAAUCUCUGCAUUCGCAGGGCCUAAGGUAAAUUCGGUGACAGGGACUAAGUCGUAACAAGGUAACCGAAUCUCUGAAGAUCCGCGCAC